RNAcentral lists this non-coding RNA (23 nucleotides) under Arabidopsis thaliana (thale cress). RNAcentral also lists the same sequence under 4 other names. Lineage: Eukaryota; Viridiplantae; Streptophyta; Magnoliopsida; Brassicales; Brassicaceae. The record is from RNAcentral.
UUGAUCCUUCGAUGUCGGCUCUU